GGCCGGUUAGCUCAGUCAGUUGAGCGUGGUGCUGAUAACACCAAGGUCGCAGGUUCAAUCCCUAUUCAGUCCC
RNAcentral lists this transfer RNA (73 nucleotides) under Apaloderma vittatum (bar-tailed trogon). It matches the Rfam family "tRNA". From Rfam's summary of the family: Transfer RNA (tRNA) molecules are approximately 80 nucleotides in length. Lineage: Eukaryota; Metazoa; Chordata; Aves; Trogoniformes; Trogonidae. The record is from Rfam by way of RNAcentral.